AGCCGCCGCGGUAAUACGAAGGGACCUAGCGUAGUUCGGAAUUACUGGGCUUAAAGAGUUCGUAGGUGGUUGAAAAAGUUGGUGGUGAAAUCCCAGAGCUUAACUCUGGAACUGCCAUCAAAACUUUUCAGCUAGAGUAUGAUAGAGGAAAGCAGAAUUUCUAGUGUAGAGGUGAAAUUCGUAGAUAUUAGAAAGAAUACCAAUUGCGAAGGCAGCUUUCUGGAUCAUUACCGACACUGAGGAACGAAAGCAUGGGUAGCGAAGAGGAUUAGAUACCCUCGUAGUCCAUGCCGUAAACGAUGUGUGUUAGACGUUGGAAAUUUAUUUUCAGUGUCGCAGCGAAAGCGAUAAACACACCGCCUGGGGAGUACGACCGCAAGGUUAAAACUCAAAUGGAUUGACGGGGACCCGCACAAGUAGUGGAGCAUGUGGCUUAAUUCGAAGAUACGCGCAGAACCUUACCAACACUUGACAUGUUCGUCGCGACUUUAAGAGAUUAAAGUUUUCGGUUCGGCCGGACGAAACACAGGUGCUGCAUGGCUGUCGUCAGCUCGUGUCGUGAGAUGUUGGGUUAAGUCCCGCAACGAGCGCAACCCUCACUUUUAGUUGCCAUCAUUUAGUUGGGCACUCUGAAAGAACUGCCAGUGAUAAGCUGGAGGAAGGUGGGGAUGACGUCAAGUCCUCAUGGCCCUUACGUGUUGGGCUACACACGUGCUACAAUGGUAUCUACAACAGGAAGCAAAACUGCGAAGUUAAGCAAAUCCUUAAAAGAUACCUCAGUUCGGAUUGCACUCUGCAACUCGAGUGCAUGAAGCUGGAAUUACUAGUAAUCGUGGAUCAGCGUGCCACGGUGAAUGCGUUCCCGGGUCUUGUACACACCGCCCGUCACACCAUGGGAGUUGGUUCUACCUUAAGGCAAGGUUUCAAACCCUUGACCACGGUAUAGUCAGCGACUGGGGUGAAGUCGUAACAAGGUAGCCG
RNAcentral lists this ribosomal RNA (981 nucleotides) under uncultured bacterium. RNAcentral describes it as "bacterial SSU rRNA". It matches the Rfam family "Bacterial small subunit ribosomal RNA", at positions 510 to 1502 of the family's 1533-position model. The record is from RNAcentral.